CAGGUGUUUCAAGACGAAAAGACGAAGAUUUCCAAGGACUAGAGUGAUGAUUGCCUCCAAGUAAACUGAGCAGAACGGAACGGAACGGAACGAAACGAAAGGAGCGCCGGAUGCCAGCGGAAAGUUAAAGGAAACGCAGCCCAGAUACGGAACACAAGCGGUUUGGCACAUAAGAAGAUAUACACGGGAUACACGGGAUACAAGGAGGCAGAGGCAGAGGACGGGACUCGGGAGUCAGGACGAUGCUGCCAGAACAACGACGUUGCCUAGCACAUAUGCCAAAUGGUGGGAAGGGGAAGGAGCAAGGAUGGAGCCGGAAUAAAACAAAAGAGAGAAGAUGCAAAUCGGUCGCCUGGAUGUCUGCCAGCUCCACGCCGUAGAUCUCUCUUUAAAAGUGUCUCGAAAGUGGUGCAAUAAAACGAGGUGAGCCGUUGAAGUUCAGACAGACAUCAGGAGCCAGCCAGGAGCUCCACCGACAGAGCAUCGAAAUGGAUAUUCAUUCGUAAUUAUGAGCCAAUGGACAACGGAAUUGUGCAAAUUUGAGAUGAGAGUGGAGAGAAUGGUUAGCAAAAUGCCAGAGCAAAUUAUUCGUGAUGUGACAACAUGAUUCCAAUGAAAUAACUCAAAGGAAGU
Long non-coding RNA from Drosophila persimilis, 633 nucleotides. RefSeq lists it as uncharacterized. The record is from RefSeq and is a predicted model, not a curated record. The transcript has 4 exons. Lineage: Eukaryota; Metazoa; Arthropoda; Insecta; Diptera; Drosophilidae.